Molecule: ribosomal RNA, 460 nt
Filed under: uncultured bacterium
Lineage: Bacteria
Description: partial 16S ribosomal RNA
Rfam family: Bacterial small subunit ribosomal RNA
Source: RNAcentral
CCUACGGGUGGCAGCAGUGAGGAAUAUUGGUCAAUGGACGAGAGUCUGAACCAGCCAAGUAGCGUGAAGGAUGACUGCCCUAUGGGUUGUAAACUUCUUUUAUAUGGGAAUAAAAUGUUCCACGUGUGGGAUUUUGUAUGUACCAUGUGAAUAAGGAUCGGCUAACUCCGUGCCAGCAGCCGCGGUAAUACGGAGGAUCCGAGCGUUAUCCGGAUUUAUUGGGUUUGAAGGGAGCGUAGGUGGAUUGUUAAGUCAGUUGUGAAAUUUUGCGGCUCAACCGUAAAAUUGCAGUUGAAACUGGCAGUCUUGAGUACAGUAGAGGUGGGCGGAAUUCGUGGUGUAGCGGUGAAAUGCUUAGAUAUCACGAAGAACUCCGAUUGCGAAGGCAGCUCACUGGACUGCAACUGACACUGAGGCUCGAAAGUGUGGGUAUCAAACAGGAUUAGAUACCCGGGUAGUC